Molecule: non-coding RNA, 762 nt
Organism: Camelina sativa (false flax)
Lineage: Eukaryota; Viridiplantae; Streptophyta; Magnoliopsida; Brassicales; Brassicaceae
Source: RefSeq, a predicted model, not a curated record
ACUCACAUUUGAAAUAAGAGCCCCUACGUGUCACUUAUUUUGAUGGAGAUUGGGUGGAUAUGGAUGCGAAGCGUCGGAUUGAAUCGGCGGAGGCCAAUCAAUGGAGAUACAACUCCAAAACCUUGAAGCUCCAAAUCCCCAAAUUUAAUUAGGGUUACUCUGCGAUCCCAAAUCGGAAUCGGAAUUACAUGAGCUAUUCACCAUCGCCGAUUGAUUUCUUCUCACUAGACCCCGAUGGUGGUGGCGGCGGCGUCGUUGUCGAAGAAGAAGAGUACGCCGUCGCUAAACCGUCAUUUACUACCCCGCGUCUCGAACCCUUACUCGAGAGUGAAGAAACGAAGACCAUGGCUAACUCCAGGAGACUCUACCCUUUUUUAUUCUCGCCGGAAUUGGGAUUCCCAUCUCCUUGUUUUCGCCUCCUCUUCUCCGUCGUCUUCGCCUCCAUCUCCAAAUUCUCCGACAGAUGAUCUCACUGCUGAGUCGUGCGUCAAUACUGGUCUUGAUCUUUUUAAGAGAGGACGGGACAGGGCUUUAUCUUCCAACAAGUGAUAUAGAUAUCAGAGAUGGUUUGAAGAAUGAUGAAGACAACUCAGACGCUUAAGGUUUUGUAUCUAUCAUCAACACAGUUCAUAAGUGAAGUGUGAGAUUUUGGUUUUGUUUGUUGUUGUUUCUCUAUAUGGAUUUGAUGAAACAUGGUAUAUGCAAUAAUUUCAUAUUGUACUUUAAUUUAUUUAUUUAAAAAAAAAAAAUCAAAUUUAGAGA